AUGGUGCAUAUGAAUCAAGGACAAGGGGAAACAAGCUAUGCACACAACUCCAGUAUCCAGAACGCUCAGCAGAACAGGAUGAAGCCCCUGAUAGAAGCGGCCAUCAUUGACUUGUGCGGCAGCAAAAGCACCUUGUUCCCCGAAAAGAUGCUGAUUGCGGACUUGGGCUGCUCUUAUGGCCCAAAUGCGCUAGCACUGGUAUCGACUGCCGUCAAGGCCAUCAUCAACCACUGCCUUCAGUUCCAGCAACCACCACCCGAAGUGUGUGUGCUCCUCAAUGACCUUCCUGACAAUGACUUCAACACGGUGGUGAAGAGCCUGGCCACGCUCCGUCAAAAUAACAACAAGCUUGUUGUUGUGACUGGUGUAGCACCGGGGUCAUUUUACGAGAGGCUCUUCACUAGUGACUCCUUGCAUCUUGUCUGCUCGUCCAACAGCUUGCAUUGGCUCUCCAUGGCUCCCGAAGAUCUGACAAUGAACCAGAUCCCUGCGUACGACAUGGAUGAGCAUGCUAGGCGUGAAAGACUCCCUACGGUCCGUGAAGCAUAUGCACGCCAGUUCAGGAAAGAUUUCAUACUUUUCCUGGAGCUGAGAGCCAAAGAAUUGGUUCCAGGAGGCCGAAUGGUUGUUUCUCUUGUAGGGCGGCCUUCUAAUGUAAAAGCCUCCAAAUUCUUUCACCUUUGGGAAACUCUAGUUCAGAUUCUAAGUGUCAUGGCCUUAGAGGGUGUGAUCGACAAAGCGAAGUUUGAUUCUUUCUAUGUGCCGGUGUAUGGACCCUCUGGUGAAGAGCUGAGGGAGAUCAUCCAAGACGAGGGCUCCUUUUCUAUCAGGGAUAUGCGGGUAUAUGACGCUACAACUGAUAUGGACAGCAUGCUCUUCACCCCAAGCUCGUUUGUGAAUUAUCUGAGAGCCAUAUUUGAGCCGAUAAUAGUCGAGCAUUUUGGAGAGGUCAUGGAUGAAUUUGUGAGGACCGCGGAGCGGCGCUGGAGCCUCGAGGGCAGCAUGCAAAACGAGCGUGCUAGGAAUCCAUGA
Molecule: ribosomal RNA, 1032 nt
Filed under: Triticum aestivum (bread wheat)
Lineage: Eukaryota; Viridiplantae; Streptophyta; Magnoliopsida; Poales; Poaceae
Description: partial small subunit ribosomal RNA
Source: RNAcentral